UGUUCUGUGGACAGUGGACUGUCCAUCAUGACUAAGACCCUCCCCUUUCCAAGUAUAUAAGGGCCUUGACUCUCUUCUCCCUCCAAACCAAACCAGGCAGAACAAAGAGUACUGAUUGAGUCAUCAGCCUGUUCUUCUGUCAGCCAAUCACCACCUCAGCAAAGAUGGCGUCGGGCGUUCCGUUAGCUUUGUUGCUCUGUUUGUCCAUCGGACUGUUGGCUCCAUCUGUAAGUAAACAACUAAAAACUAUGUGUUGUACAUGCAGUGUAAUGCAGUGGUUUCCCAGCCUGUAAGAUUAUGAGACAGUGAUUUAAUAAUGUUACUAGUUUUAAUGUAGGCUGAGUGCAAACUGGAAGCUGAAAUAUUAGAUAAGUUUGUUCUAUGAAGCACGUUGGGCUGCAUGUUUGUAUCAAAGAUAAUGUAUAAAUAAAGUUAAGUAGAGUAGUCCUGUAAUCAGACUGCUUGUGUUUAACACGUCUUUUUGUGAUCACAGUGUCGUGGAGAAACUAACUCCACCUGCCCAGGUC
Molecule: long non-coding RNA, 527 nt
Organism: Etheostoma spectabile (orangethroat darter)
Lineage: Eukaryota; Metazoa; Chordata; Actinopteri; Perciformes; Percidae
Exons: 3
Source: RefSeq, a predicted model, not a curated record